CCCAAAUAUGGGGAGCAGUCCCUCCUCUGGGCUAGGGACUUUGUUUCCUCCAUUGUCAUCACUGACUGUGAGCAGACUCUAGUCUAUGCAGACUAAUGAGGAGUUAUCAAAAUGAGCUCCAAACUCCGGAUUUGAGUUAAGGAUCAUAAAUUAACACAGAGAAAUAUGACUUUAGCAAUAAGUGACUGUUUGAAGCCCAAGUUGCCUUAAAACACGGAAUUUCAGUCUUUCAGCUCCUCUGCUAAUCUAGUGACUAAGAACAGGAUCUCACUGGAGCUCAAAGAUGUGGGGCACUGGGAAUACUCUGGGUCUGUCUGCUCACGGCUGAUUGCCUGAUCCCAGUUUUAUUAUACAGCUUAAAUACAGACCAGAAGAGGAGUUUGGGGCUUGACACCUGACAUCUUAACACCAGUUCCUGUUUCUUGAGGAAGGAAGAGGUAAAAUAAAUCAGCAUUUACUGUGUCCUUCUCCAUCCCCGGAAGUCUUCAUGAAGACCCUCUCAGCUUCUACUUGAACGUGAAUAUGAGCAACUGAUCAUCUGUUCUGCGGUCAGCCCCUGGCCUGAUUCUGACUCAUGAUAUUGACCUUCUCCAUCAUCACCUUCCACAAAUUUGAUUCCUAUCUAUUCUGCCUGGAAUAGUUCAUGAGUAUAGUCACCAUUUAUGUUCCUGACGAAAGACAUUAUGCUCAUUCUCAGGGCCCUGAGACCUCAUCUGCAGCAGGUGAAGGCAUUCGUGGAGAGAGGCGGUUUCCGUGCGUGCAGGCAAAGUGUGUGCUGAGAUGAGUCGCUGGAGACUGGGGUGGACUCUUCAGACCCAGGAUAGGCCUCUGGCAGGUAUAUGUCAAUGUUUUCUGCCCAUGGCACUCACCCGGAUAUUUGCAUACAAUGUUAUCAGUGGAAUUAGUAGUCUCCAGAGAGGCUGCCACAUGUCAGCAAGCUUCACCUGGCCAGGUCCGCCCAGGAUGUAGCUCCCCAAUCAAUCACUACUCUCUAGACCUUCCAGAUAGACUAGCAGAUCUUCUCUGCCCAUGGGCAACCAGUAGAGCCAGAGGCCUUCUCUCUUUGCUCUUUCGUCUCUAGGCAUUCUAUCAGGCAUUCCAAGCUGUGAAGUGCCUGGGAGGAGAAGGAAGAGAUUUCAGAGAAUGAACACAUACAGAGAGACAGGCAAGAGACGGUGAGUGGGGAUGUCUUGCCUACUGAUAUCCUCAGGAAAGUGGGAAAAUUGGACCCUGGCCUGCUAUGACAAUGCCCUGAAGCAGUCCGCACCAGGGGCUCCCUUGUGCCUGCAUAGCCUUUCCCAGGGUGUGCUCAAAUCCUGUGGCCACUAGGUGUCCUGGGUCACAAUGGAGGGCCCUGUGUCAUCUGCCUGUUGGGCUGGAUCUCUGCCAUUGGCUGAGUCUUGUCACCAGGCCCAUCAUAAGCUCUGCCCACUCUUCCUGUGGGGGGACUGUCUCCAUGGUGAUGGCAAAGAAGCCUGAGUUCCGCCCACCUGGCCUUGACUUCACCUACCUGGCCUGCUGACCCUCACUCAGACCUCUGUGUUGAUCAAAAUGAAUGUCCGCCAGUGGCCAGGUGUCAGCAUCUGGGAUAAAGGAUUGGGGACCUUGCCUGGGGCAGAAGGCAGCCUAGGUCUGUGGGUACCUGGAAGUCUUGUGACUUCUGCCGCUGCUGCCAGUGACAGAUGGUGACUCCCACACUCACAUAUCCCCUGGUGGCAGAAGGAUAGUGAUGGGCGGAGAAACAUGGCUCCGGAGCACACUUUAAAUGCGGCACCAGCCAAAGGCCAGGGCAAGGAGUGGACGUCGUGGAGCUUAAUUGCAAGCCAGUGAAGGGCCCAAGGAUUUCUCCUAUAUGUGGCAAACAGGUCAUCCGUGUCCCCACGUCCAUAAACCAUUGGACUGCAGUGCCAGACUGCCAGGAUUUCGGCCUUGCCAUUGGAGCCCGUCCACAUACGCUGCGUUGCACCGGAGGCGGGGACAUGUAGACAGCAAAAAUUUGGAAAAUGGCAUCAUCUCUUCAAUUUCCCUAGCAUUGGCCUUUUUCAGUGGCAUGCUUUGUUUCCUAGUAGGAUAAGGCACUGACGGAGAAAGGCAGGAGUAUGUGUGUAGGAAAGGUGUGUGCCGAAAGGGUGACGACGUUGAGACCACGUUGGGAUCUUUAGUCCCAGGAAAGGCCCCUGGCAGGUGUGGGUCAAUGUUCUCUGCUCAUCCGAGUUGGCGGGGGAGGUUUUCACCAAACAAAGCAGCAGAGGAAUUAUUCGUAGCCUGAGAGGUUGCAUCUGCCCACAAGCUCCACCUGGCCAGGGUCCGCCCCUACUGUAUUGCCCAUGUCAAUCAACAGAAGCUAAGACCUUCCAGAGAGACUACCUGCUAUUGUCUACCCACCGGGAAGCGGUCCAGCCAGAAGCCUCCCCCGUUUCAUCUCCAGGCUCUCUGUCAGGCCCCUCAUACUUGUGAUGUGUCUCAGGGGUAGAAGGAAGAGAUUUCUCUGAAUGAACACAUCCAGAGAGGAGCCAUAGAUGCUGAGGAAGGGCGCCUUGUCUACUGAUAUCCUAGCGUAAGUGUAAAAGAGGUACCUGCCUGCUGUCCCAGUGUGUCGAACGUGUCCACAUCAGGGGUUGGCUACUGUAAAAUUAUUCCCUGGUGCCCUCGAUUUUGUGGCCAAAGACACGAGGGGCCGUUGUGUGUCCAUGGGUACAAUGGAGGGCUCUGCGGAACGGGCUGGUUAGGCUGGACUUCUCCUAUUGGCUCAGUGUUUGUGACUCGUCCCCGUCAGAAGUUCCGCCCAGCCUUCUGGUGGCUGUCUCCAUGAGGAUUGGGAAAGAAGCCCUAGGCCCCGCACUCGGCCUUCACCUGGCCUACCUGGCCUCUUUACCCUCAUCUAGACCGCUCUGUGCAUGAAAGAAAGGAUGUCGGCCACUGACCAAGCAUCCUCAUUUCCUUGGAAGUAUUAGGCUCCUUGCGUGGGCAGAAGACAGCCAAGGUCAGCCUGAGCCUAGACACCUAGUGACCUGUGACACUGCAGCCAGCGAUAGAUGUUGAUGUCCACGCUCAGGUAUCCGCAGUUGACGGAUUCAGAGUGGUCAGAGGAGAAGUGUAACUAGAGAUCACACACUCAUGAGGGCACGGGCCAAAGGUCAGGGAAAAUAGCUGAGGUCGUGGAGCUCUAGCGGAGCCAGUCAAGGGCCCAGGCCUCCCUCCUGUACGUGGCAAAGAGGUGUCACCUUCCGCAGAGUAUGCUGCCACCCGCAGACUCUGGACUGCUGGGGCCCUGGAUGCCCGGAUUUCGGCCUUGUGUUUGGAGAAGUGACGUGCAUGCAGUGUGCCACCGGGGGCUGUGGCCCAGCAGAAGCAAAAUCUUGAAAAUGGGAGCUUCAGUUGACUUUGCGUGUUCUCUCCCUUGGCUGAGUGCCAUCCUGUGUUUCCUAGCAGGAGAAGGCAUUCGUGGAGAAAGGCAGAUUCCAUGUGUGCAGGCAAAGUGUGUGCUGACAUGAUGAGACCCUGGAGACCAGGGUGGACUCUUCAGACCCAGGACAGGCCUCUGGCAGGUAUGUGUCAAUGUUUUCUGCCCGUGGCACUCAACCGGGUAUUUGCAUACAGUGUCAUCAGCAGAAUUAGUAGUCUCCGGAGAGGCUACCACAUGUCAGCAAGCUUCACCUGGCCAGAGUCCACCCGUGAUGUAGCUCCCCAAUCAGUCACUACUGUCUAGACCUUCCAGAUAGACUAGCAGAUCUUCUCUGCCCAUGGGCAACCAGU
Loxodonta africana (African savanna elephant) is the source of this 3756-nucleotide long non-coding RNA. RefSeq lists it as uncharacterized. The record is from RefSeq and is a predicted model, not a curated record. Lineage: Eukaryota; Metazoa; Chordata; Mammalia; Proboscidea; Elephantidae. The transcript is spliced from 4 exons.